RNAcentral lists this long non-coding RNA (3249 nucleotides) under Pan troglodytes (chimpanzee). RNAcentral's name for it is "long non-coding RNA NONPTRT005131". The record is from RNAcentral. Lineage: Eukaryota; Metazoa; Chordata; Mammalia; Primates; Hominidae.
CAUUGCCCCAUUUCUUCCUCAGGAAUGAAAGUUCAUGGGGUAGAGGAUAGGGUAGAAGGUGGGUAUUUAAAACUGGUCUCUGAUGCCUUUGUGUUUCUAAAUGGAGAGUUCCUUUGUCCUUAGGAUAUGACACGGAUUUGUUCUGUUUUAGGUGGGAGUGAAUGUCCCCAUUCCAGUGCCUUUGCCAAUGUUCUCAUUCACCGGCUCUCGAUCCUCCUUCAGGGGAGACACCAAUUUCUAUGGCAAACAGGGCAUCCAAUUCUACACUCAGUUAAAGACCAUUACUUCUCAGUGGAAAGAAGAAGAUGCUACUCUUUCCUCACCUGCUGUUGUCAUGCCUACCAUGGGCCGUUAGAAACAAGUUUGUUUAAGACUGACUCCAUCCUGAGUAAUCUCCCUUUAUUUUUGACCAGCUUCAUUUGUCAGCUUUGCUCAGAUCAGAUCUAUGGGAUUGGAAUACAUUGUAACUAAAAUCUUCCUCAGGACUAUUAACCCCUGCAAAGUUUCUAUAGGGAACUGCCUAGUGUAACAAUGAAACCAGAUUUCUCACUUGCUCUUCAUACUUCUAUUUUGAAGUAACUGUUGUAACUAUGAAAUGCUUAUCUGAAAGUAGUGCUUAAACCCGAUUUCUAAAAAUUAUCCCAUUUUCUGAUGAUUUGAAGGGGAGAAAAGCCAGUGUAUGUAAAGAAAAUGUUCCAGCCAGGCGCGGUGGCUCACGCCUGUAAUUCCAUCAUUUUGGGAGGCCAUAGUGGGCAGAUUGCUUGAGCCCAGGAGGUGAAGAACGUGGCGAAACCCCGUAUCUAUUAUUUAAAAAAAUUGAAAAAGUAAAAAAAGAAAAGGGAAAAAAAAAUUUUUAAAGAAGAUGUUCCAAUAAUUGCAAGAAGAACUCUUAGAUGGGGAAACAGGACAGAAAUAACUCACCGCUUUUGGUUGAUCCUCAAACAUAGCGCUACCUAAAUGCCACUGGGAGAGACCUCCUGCAAAGUUUUCUUUAGCCCCUCUUUUAUCCCACAAUACACAAGAUAUAAUCCAUUUUUAUAUAUCCCAAAGUUGUGGCAACAGCUUCUUUCUUUUCUGCUCAAUGCCACUUUGUUUCCUAGUAAUUCAUGACCACUAUUAAUUCUAUCAUUGUCACUGCUCCUGCUUCUUAAGAUCACUUCUCAAGGAUACCUCAGUAAGCAAUGGAUAAAUCAACUUUUUGUUAUAUGUGCCAAGUACUAAGUUUCAGGGUUCUCUUCAGCAAUCAUUAAUUAAUACUUCAGCCAUUAAUUCAGAUGCAAAUAAUUUUCUUGUUUCUUUUUUUUUGAGAUGGAGUUUCACUCUUGUUGCCCAGGCUGGAGUGCAAUGGCGUGAUCUCAGCUCACCGCAACCUCCAUCUCCCAGGUUCAAGCGAUUCUCCUGCCUCAGCCCUCCUAGUAGCUGGGAUUACAGGCAUGCGCCACCACACCCAGCUAAUUUUGUAUUUUUAGUAGAGACGGGGUUUCUCCGUGUUGGUCAGGCUGGUCUCGAACUCCUGACCUCAGGUGAUCCGCCUGCCUCGGCCUCCCAAAGUGCUGGGAUUACAGGCAUGAGCCACCACACCUAGCCAGAUGCAAAUAAUUUUCUUAGAAAAUUAUUUCAAAAGUUAUUUUAGGCCCAGAAAUCAAGGAGUGUUCCAACCAUGAAAAUGGGUAAGACACCUGCCUUAAGCAAAUCUAACCUGCUAUUACUUGCCAAAUUUUAUAUAUUCUUUUCUCUUGCCUGUAUUUCUAAUUAGUGAUUUGUUUAAUGAAGAACUCUUCAUGUAGAGCAAUUAACUGGGCCUAAGAAAUUUCGAAGCUUUCCAUGACAUAAAGUGGUUAAAAAAAAAAUGCUUUGACAGUCUUCUUCUGCCAUUAGUUCAACUGCCUUUACGCUUUUUUUUUUUUUUUUUUUUUGAGAUGGAGUUUCACUCUUGUUGCCCAGGCUAGAGUGCAAUGGCGUGAUCUUGGCUCACUGCAACCUCUGCCUCCCGGGUUCAAGCAAUUCUCCUGCCUCAGCCUCCUGAGUAGCUGGGAUUUCAGGCAUACGCCACCAUGCCUGGCUAAUUUUGUAUUUUUAGUAGAGACAGGGUUUCUCCAUGUUGGUCAGGCUGGUCUCGAACUCCCAACCUCAGGUGAUCUGCCUGCCUUGGCCUCCCAAAGUGCUGGGAUUACAGGUGUGAGCUACCACCCCCAGCCACCUUUAUGCUUUUUGUUUCUUUGAUAUAUCUAAACUUAAGGUCAGAACAGAAAUUCAUGUGCUGAACAGAAUGGAUUCUUUUUGCAAUACCAACCCAAUUGAAUCCUCUUUUUAUUUUCCUGCGUCCUUACCAGUCACUUUGAUAGUGCUAACUAACCUACACUAUGGGGGUUAUUCAUGAAUUAAGUAUGAUAAAAAAAAAAAAAAGACCUUGAAAAUGUUGUGUACCCUGUGGAGUUGAGGCUUAUUACUACCACCUGGCUGGAUAAAAUGUCAAAACCUUCAAUCACUUAAGGUGACUGGAACUUUUGUAAAAUACACUUAUGAUCCUACUGGGCCUUUUUUUUUUUUUUUCUGCUUUCCUAAAUAUGAGGCAAUAGAAAUUUAUAAUUUCAGACUACAGUACCCCUUGUUUUAGCUCUUAUCACAGCUGGCAACUGGUAGUGAUUUUUUUUGUUGUUGUUUUGUUUUGUUUUGAGAUGGAGUCUCGCUCUGUUGCCCAGGGUGGAGUGCAGUGGCACGAUCUCGGCUCACUGCAACCUCCACCUCCUGGGUUCAAGUAAUUCUCCUGCCUCAGUGUCCCGAGUAGCUGGGAUUACAAGUGCAUGCCCCCACACCCGGAUAAUUUUUUGUACUUUUAGUAGAGACAGGGUUUCACCAUGUUAGCCAGGAUGGUCUCAAUCUCCUGACCUAAUGAUCCGCCCACCUCGGCCUCCCAAAGUGCUGGGAUUACAGGCGUGAACCACUGCACCUGGCCCUGGUAGUGACAUUUAAUCCAAUCCAACAACUAUAGGCUGGGUUAAAUAAAAGGUCAUUAUUGUCUAUAUUCCAAGUGGAAUUAAAUGUAGUCACAGAGACUCCUAACAUUUUCCCUAUAUUUAAGGGAAAUCACUUCUAAAAAAACACACUAAUCAGAACUGUGAUGCUCUAAUUAGAAACAACUCAUCUGGCCAACUAUUUGCUGCUCAGAGUCUCUUAUUUCUUAGAUGAAAAAAACUCAUCAGUUAUAUUCAUGUGAUCGCGGCUAAAAAGUCAGUAUUUUCUUUUCUU